Molecule: unclassified non-coding RNA, 490 nt
Filed under: Hevea brasiliensis (rubber tree)
Lineage: Eukaryota; Viridiplantae; Streptophyta; Magnoliopsida; Malpighiales; Euphorbiaceae
Source: RNAcentral
GGAACAUCCAUUACUUUGAUUGUAAUAGUAGCCGGAUGAGCUGUCAUACUCCCAUUCUUCUGAUACAGCAGAUCCCUUGGUAGUCGCUUGACCAUUAUCAUGAGUAGCCAGGGCCUGUAUAUUGGUAGUUCUGGCUUCUUUUACUCGAGCCAUGUCCUUAUCAUAGCUGCGUUGAGCUUUCGCUUCAAUUUGCUCCAGAGCACGGGCUGCUUCUUUUAACUCUUUAUCUUUUGUAGCUUUCUCUUGUCGCAUUGUGUUAAGCCUAUUGCCCACACUUUCCUUGUGGCGCGUACCAAGUUCAUGGUUCCUAAUGCUCGUAGGAUUGUUCGAUAUGAAGAUUUUGCAGAAAUCACACCAUUUAUUUCCUUGGCUAACCCAAAACUCAGUCAUGGCUGCAACAGAUACACGAAUGGAUUGAAUGAAAGGAGAAGACGGCGAUUCUCAAGCUCAAAUCUGUUUCCUAUUCAAAAUCAACGGCCUUUUCUUCUAA